Molecule: ribosomal RNA, 478 nt
Filed under: uncultured bacterium
Lineage: Bacteria
Description: partial 16S ribosomal RNA
Rfam family: Bacterial small subunit ribosomal RNA
Source: RNAcentral
GACGAACGCUGGCGGCGUGCUUAACACAUGCAAGUCGAACGGUAAGGCCCUUCGGGGUACACGAGUGGCGAACGGGUGAGUAACACGUGGGUGAUCUGCCCUGCACUUCGGGAUAAGCCUGGGAAACUGGGUCUAAUACCGGAUAGGACUCCGGACUGCAUGGUCUGGGGUGGAAAGCUUUUGCGGUGUGGGAUGGGCCCGCGGCCUAUCAGCUGGUUGGUGGGGGGAUGGCCUACCAAGGCGACGACGGGUAGCCGGCCUGAGAGGGUGACCGGCCACACUGGGACUGAGAUACGGCCCAGACUCCUACGGGAGGCAGCAGUGGGGAGUAUUGCACAAUGGGCGCAAGCCUGAUGCAGCGACGCCGCGUGAGGGAUGACGGCCUUCGGGUUGUAAACCUCUUUCAGCAUCGACGAAGCGAAAGUGACGGUAGGUGCAGAAGAAGGACCGGCCAACUACGUGCCAGCCGCCGCAGUAA